AGCGAACGCUGGCGGCAGGCUUAACACAUGCAAGUCGAGCGGGCACUUUCGGGUGUCAGCGGCGGACGGGUGAGUAACGCGUGGGAACGUGCCCUCUGGUUCGGAAUAACUCAGGGAAACUUGAGCUAAUACCGGAUACGCCCUUUUGGGGAAAGGCUUUCUGCCGGAGGAUCGGCCCGCGUCUGAUUAGCUAGUUGGUGAGGUAACGGCUCACCAAGGCGACGAGCCGUAGCUGGUCUGAGAGGGUGAUCGGCCACACUGGGACUGAGACAGGGUCCAGGCGCCGAAGGGAGGAAGCAGUAGGGAACAGGCCGCAAUGGGCGAAAGGUUGACGGAGAAACGCAGCGGGAGUGAUGAAGGUCUUCGGAGCGGAAAACUUGGUGAGUAGGGAAGAACAAAUGUGGAAGUAACUAUGCACGUCUGGACGGUACCUAAUCAGAAAGACACGGAUAACUACGUG
This 460-nucleotide ribosomal RNA is filed under the name uncultured bacterium. Its description in RNAcentral is "partial 16S ribosomal RNA". It matches the Rfam family "Bacterial small subunit ribosomal RNA", at positions 30 to 507 of the family's 1533-position model. The record is from RNAcentral.